RNAcentral lists this ribosomal RNA (301 nucleotides) under uncultured bacterium. RNAcentral describes it as "partial 16S ribosomal RNA". It matches the Rfam family "Bacterial small subunit ribosomal RNA", at positions 509 to 807 of the family's 1533-position model. The record is from RNAcentral.
CAGUCGCCGCGGGAAUACGUAGGGUGCAAGCGUUAAUCGGAAUUACUGGGCGUAAAGCGUGCGCAGGCGGUUCGCUAAGACAGAUGUGAAAUCCCCGGGCUUAACCUGGGAGCUGCAUUUGUGACUGGCGGGCUAGAGUAUGGCAGAGGGGGGUAGAAUUCCACGUGUAGCAGUGAAAUGCGUAGAGAUGUGGAGGAACACCGAUGGCGAAGGCAGCCCCCUGGGCCAAUACUGACGCUCAUGCACGAAAGCGUGGGGAGCAAACAGGAUUAGAUACCCCCGUAGUCCCUGUCUCUUAUAC